Molecule: ribosomal RNA, 253 nt
Filed under: uncultured bacterium
Lineage: Bacteria
Description: partial 16S ribosomal RNA
Rfam family: Bacterial small subunit ribosomal RNA
Source: RNAcentral
UACAGAGGGGGCAAGCGUUGUUCGGAAUUACUGGGCGUAAAGGGCGCGUAGGCGGCCCGCUAAGUCGAACGUGAAAUCCCCGGGCUCAACCCGGGAACUGCGUCCGAUACUGGUGGGCUUGAAUCCGGGAGAGGGAUGCGGAAUUCCAGGUGUAGCGGUGAAAUGCGCAGAUAUCGGGAAGAACACCCGUGGCGAAGGCGGCUCUCUGGUACGUGACUGACGCUGAGACGCGAAAGCGUGGGGAGCGAACAGG